AGUGAAAAUGUGAGGAGGUUAUGUCUGAUCAUUGAUUCUCUCUCACCAUUUCUCCGCGUCAUCUCAUGUAAAACCGCUUUCUCGUGGAGACCUUUCUCAUAGCUCAUCUCCUGCAGCUGGCUUCUAAAUCCCAAUUCUUCCAUGCCGGUCAUUCCAACUGCGUUCAAUUAUCCAUUAUGGGCCUCCAUUCUCCGUACGUGUCUGGAUCUUUCUGGUCUCGAAAGGUUCUCUAGUUUUUGUUCGUUGGUGAUCCUCGUGUUAUGUAAGAGUACAUUUUUGUUGCAGUCAUUCUCUUCAUAGUUAUUAUCUAGUUUGUAAUUCUGCUUUUCGGAUAUUGUGACAAAUUGCACAUUUGAAUCGAAGUUGCUUCAAUUUUAGCUUAAGGAUGCGGCGAAGGUGAAUCCGUACCCCUUGUUUAUGUCUCUGGUUCAGAGGGUUUAGCCUCUUAACACUUCAUGAUGGUCGAUGUCCAUGGUUUUCUUUGAAAAUUCACUUUAACAAUUUGACAUAUUUUCCUGCUUUCCCCCCUCCCCACCACUUGCUAUAGACUUGAAACCUGAAAUUUUCUGGUAUAGGAUAUGGUAAUUUGGGUCCAUUGUUCAUAUUGUAUCUAGAUUAAUUAUGCCAUCAUUGACCUUGGAACGUAGUUUGUUUUUCAAGUUCAGAUUCAAUAUUUUGGAAACGCACGUUGACGAAAAAAGGUAAAGGAGGAGGACAGCAAAAGAAUCUCCAUUGACAUCCUAUUAUGUAGACCAACAUUUUUUUCUCUCCCUUGUAUGCUAAUACAUCCAUUUGACUGUUAGCAGAGUACCGAGUAAUUUGGUAAUUGAGCAGACUGAUUGAAAAUUGAUCAACGACUUCUUCUGCCUUUGCCUACCUCAAUUUUCUAUUUAACUUCGACUAUAGUUUAUCUAUACUUGUUUUGAUUUUUAUUCCUUCAAACAUGAAGUCUACGUAGUAGGUUUAUCUCUAAUUUAGACCUUAAAUUGAGCGACUUUGAUAAAUCAUAAGGGAUGAGUGGUACAUGAUUGCACAUAUACCUGCUAAUCAAUGGAGGACGUGCAAGUAAUAAGUUAUUUUCCUCCUUAUUCCAUGAUUUACUUGAGAACAUUCACCCUCGCCCCUAGAGAUUUGGGAUUGAUUCUAAUUAAAAAAGUUUAUUAGUAACUGCUGAAAGUGCUGGAGGGAUUAGACUGUCAGAAAGAUUAUUCUUCCAAAUAUGUGGACUUAAGGAUAUUAAGGAUGCCAACACAUAAAGUCUUGCUUAUCUACCAAAAGAAUAGGACUUACCAAAGGAAUAGGUUGGUUACCACCAAAUCUCUAACCAUUUGUAUUUGUUGAGUUAUUUUUGCAUUCCCAAAUUAGGGAUUCCAUAUUGUAUAAAUACAUCACCUAUGUAUAUUUCAAAUACAAGAAAUCAUAAAGGAAAACUUGGCUUGCCACUGUUGUUUAUCGCCUAUCUCUUGAAGUUGUCGUCUACCUCCCGCAGAUGUUAUCGUCUACCUCCACAAACACUAUCGUUUACCUUGUCUAAGUUCUGUCGUCUGCAGCAUGAGUCAAGUCAUAUCCUUCAACCUCUCAUUUCUAACUCUAAGUGAAACUUUUUUAUGCUGAUCAACUUCUUCAGCAUAACUAUACACUGGAUUCAGAACCGGGAGAUUUAGAACUUCAAUGCCUGACAGGAAAAGAAAUGAUAUCGGCCCUGCUGCGUUUUUCAAAGAAGCCGGCAUCUUCAUUCUAUUGCAUGACAGAAGGAUUGACCACUUUAUUACAGAACAUGAAAUAUGGAACAAGCCGAAUUUCAGAAGGGUAAAUGAUACACGACUUUAUUUUCCAUCUCGGCAUUCCAAAAAACUUGGCUGAUGGAUAGUUAGAUGAUAUAAGUCUCAAUCUAUAGAAUAGCUCAGUUCAUCUCUUGGACGUACAUAAUAGCGAUUUCCAGAUACUUAUUUAGCAGCUUUAGCAGCCUUAGCUAACCUGUGUGAGGUAAUGCCUCCAUCACUUGACUAUUUUAACUUCUCUACAUUGUUCUCUUCUACAUGGUUCUCUUUUCUACAACUGCUUACCAAUUGGAUCGGAAGAUUUUUGUCAUUCUGCUCAUCACUGACAUGUUUAGGGUGCAAGAAACUUGGUUGAUUGGUGGAAGACAAUAGCCUUGCCCACAUCCUGUCGGUAAUCACUACUUUGUUUUGUCUCUCAAUUAUCCGCUGCAAAUGUAGGAGUAACAUAAGAUUGGUCUAUAAUAUUCAGAGUUACCGGAAGGCCAGGGAGAUAAUCAGUCAAGUGAGGGACAUCUUCAAGAACAUAAUGGAAGUCGCCACCGGUCAAGAUUUCGGACGCGGAAUCUCCUGGAGCAUCCCUACCAUUUC
This is a non-coding RNA of Benincasa hispida (wax gourd), 2369 nucleotides long. The record is from RefSeq and is a predicted model, not a curated record. Lineage: Eukaryota; Viridiplantae; Streptophyta; Magnoliopsida; Cucurbitales; Cucurbitaceae.